Molecule: ribosomal RNA, 206 nt
Filed under: uncultured bacterium
Lineage: Bacteria
Description: partial 16S ribosomal RNA
Rfam family: Bacterial small subunit ribosomal RNA
Source: RNAcentral
AGCGUAGGCGGUUUUGCAAGUCAGAAGUGAAAGGCUACGGCUCAACCGUAGUAAGCUUUUGAAACUGCAAGACUAGAGUGCAGGAGAGGCAAGUGGAAUUCCUAGUGUAGAGGUGAAAUUCGUAGAUAUUAGGAGGAACACCAGUGGCGAAGGCGACUUGCUGGACUGUAACUGACGCUGAGGCUCGAAAGCGUGGGGAGCGAACA